AAAGAUGAACUUCAGUACGCACUCAUAGAUUUUGGGUUCCCUGUUGUCUCUGCCGGUAAGCUCUUUGACUCAUUCUAAGCUGAUUUAGUGUUUGCUUGGAUUGGGUUUGGGAAAUUAGGGUUUAAAUAUAGAAUUUUCUUUGAAAUUUGCUUUUACUGGGUUUUGUUCAUAUUGGGGAUGCGGGGUUUGUGUGGUAGGUUAUGUUCACAAUGGGUAUUGGGUUUAGUGGGUUGUGUUCAUAUUAAAGGAGUCGAGGACGAAAUUGAGAAGGGCUGAUACUUCAUCCUGGGAUAUUUGUCGAAUAUUGAUCUUAUGCACACUAGAUGUUUGUUAAAUUGCCUCACUGGGCUACAUUGCAUGUUCUCACUUUUUUUUUUUUUUUUGUAGUAUUGUGUAGAGCUGCAGUGAGGGAUUAUGAAUAAUGGAUUAUGUAUUCUAGUUUCAUAGAUUUUGUGUGAUUACGUUGGGGUUUUGGCUUAAUAUCUAAUUUGUGAUGUUAACAAAUGAUCGGUGUUUUGUAUGUGGGAAAUUUCGGGGACUCGAGAGCAGUCCUUGACUAGAAAGUGAGCAAGAGCAAGGUAAUGGUGGAAUGGUUGUCAUUGGAUCAUAAUGUGGGUAUACAGAUGUUAAAAUAAUGGAUUGCAGGUACAAACUUGUUUUUGCUCCUCUAAUUCUUUUAUAAGCACUCAUCUGUUGCAUUUUUAACUUUUGUGCUGGAGGAUUUGAGAAGAAGCAAUCAGCUUAGGAAUAUUUUCUCUUUCCAUAGUAAGUGCAGGUAAUCAUUUAUCUCUUUUUGAAUUGCAGGUACAAAAUUUGUAGAAGUUAAGAUCUACAUUGGCACAUAGCUAUAUGUACACUUAUCUAUGCACUGUAAACUUCUAGAUGUAUUUAGGUACAUGAUGCAAAUCUAUGCAAAUUAUAUUAGUUCCAUCAGGCUUUAUGGUUUUAUGUGGUUUUAUGUAAUAGAUAAAUAUGACUAGAACAAGACUUCUACUAACCAGACUCAUAAUUAAUAGUUUAUGUGAGUUCAUUCUCUCUUUCAUUGUUAUUCUGUUGCUCUGAGUUUACACCUGUACAGAUGUUCAUAUAUAUGCAGGUUUGAACGUUAUGUUUUUCAUUUCAUCAAUUAGGUUUAUUGUAUUGGUUUUUGAUCAAGGAAAUUAUGUGUGUGCUUGCAGAGUAGAUUACCAUUCGAGGUGUUGUUAAUUGUGAAGCUACCGCUCACAUUCUAAUCAUCUUUUUCAGGUUAGUUUGUUUAUAAUCCCAUCCCUUUAUGUCUACGUACUCUACUUUUUUUUUAUGAAUUUAUACUCAUAUAUAGAUACAUAUAUAUAAUUUCAGUUAUAUGUAGCACCCAAAUGUUGUAUAAUGAUUUUGUGUGCAUAGUGACUUAUUCUUAUAUGUCCUUCACUAGGAUUUGGUCUUUGUAAGUUUAUGAUAGUAUCAGAGAGUGUGUUGGGUUGAUGAGAGUUCCACUGAUGGUUCCUUCAACCUAACAAAGAUA
This 1504-nucleotide long non-coding RNA is filed under the name Fragaria vesca (wild strawberry). RNAcentral describes it as "long non-coding RNA (FVES_LNC005511)". The record is from RNAcentral. Lineage: Eukaryota; Viridiplantae; Streptophyta; Magnoliopsida; Rosales; Rosaceae.